RNAcentral lists this ribosomal RNA (730 nucleotides) under uncultured bacterium. Its description in RNAcentral is "SSU rRNA". It matches the Rfam family "Bacterial small subunit ribosomal RNA", at positions 505 to 1241 of the family's 1533-position model. The record is from RNAcentral.
GUGCCAGCAGCCGCGGUAAUACGGAGGAUCCAAGCGUUAUCCGGAAUCAUUGGGUUUAAAGGGUCCGUAGGUGGAUAAUUAAGUCAGGGGUGAAAUCUUGCAGCUCAACUGUAAAAUUGCCUUUGAUACUGGUUAUCUUGAGUCAUUAUGAAGUAGUUAGAAUAUGUAGUGUAGCGGUGAAAUGCAUAGAUAUUACAUAGAAUACCAAUUGCGAAGGCAGAUUACUAAUAAUGUACUGACACUGAUGGACGAAAGCGUGGGUAGCGAACAGGAUUAGAUACCCUGGUAGUCCACGCCGUAAACGAUGGUUACUAGCUGUGUGGACUUCGGUCUGCGUGGCUAAGCGAAAGUGAUAAGUAACCCACCUGGGGAGUACGUUCGCAAGAAUGAAACUCAAAGGAAUUGACGGGGGCCCGCACAAGCGGUGGAGCAUGUGGUUUAAUUCGAUGAUACGCGAGGAACCUUACCAGGGCUUAAAUGUAAGUUGCAUUAGCUGGAGAUAGCUAUUUCCUCGGACCACUUACAAGGUGCUGCAUGGUUGUCGUCAGCUCGUGCCGUGAGGUGUCAGGUUAAGUCCUAUAACGAGCGCAACCCCUGUUGUUAGUUGCCAGCGAGUCAUGUCGGGAACUCUAACAAGACUGCCGGUGCAAACCGUGAGGAAGGUGGGGAUGACGUCAAAUCAUCACGGCCCUUACGUCCUGGGCUACACACGUGCUACAUGGUCGGUACA